Molecule: long non-coding RNA, 3135 nt
Filed under: Amborella trichopoda
Lineage: Eukaryota; Viridiplantae; Streptophyta; Magnoliopsida; Amborellales; Amborellaceae
Description: long non-coding RNA (ATRI_LNC002235)
Source: RNAcentral
GCUUCCCAGAAAAGUUCAUUUUCAUUUUAUCAUAAUACUCUUAAUCUUUAUAAGAAAAUAUGAGUAUGGUGAUUUGGCUAUCACUAAACCCAACAUUCUCUACCUAGAUAGCAAAAUUACAAUAAGUACAUUGGCGAUCUUCAGUAGAUAGAUUUCUUGAUUUCUUCACACUUGCUUCCAUUAUGGAAUUUUCCCAAACACUUUGCCUAAUGGAAUUUUCUCAAACACUUUGCCUUUAUAUUUUUCCACCUCAAACCAUGUAUCCAUCAAACUUCACGAUUCUUCUUUUUUCCAAUACGAGCCUUAGCCCGUACACACAUUGUGCUCCGAUACCAAUUGAAGGGUUCUUAGGAACUGCUAGCUUGCAUAGCCGGGAAUCCUAAAUAUCAGGAUCACAUCCAAGAUCGUGUACAUAAUUAGCUAAAUGCGAAGUAAAUGGAUACAACUAUAAAUCGAGUGUAAGAAAUAAAGCAAACAUAAAAUACAUACUACAACAACACACAAUUUACAUGGUUCAAAUCAUAAGGCUACAUCCAUGGCUUCAGCAAGUAGAAAUUUAUUAUCUCAAUGACGAUUACAGUUUUGGUUUACAAGAGAUAAUACAUGUCUCUAACCAUCAGUAAAAGACCAUCACCGAUCUUUCUUUCUAAACUCGUUCUCCCGACCGAAAAACACUAUCGAUCAAUACUUUUUUUCCCACCGCAAUAUUACUACCGAAAAGAUAACUUCGAGAGCAACCGAUAUAUUUUCUCUCUCUAGAAGUGGAAGCUUUACCAACCAAAAACUGAUGAGAAUACCACCUGACCAAUCUCUAUCUUAAAGAUCCAUUCCUAUAACCGCCAAAGGGGUGACCUUCAAAAGAAUAUAAUAUUAUGUCUUCAUUGAGUAUCUUAUAUAGAUAUCACUUUCUUGCUUCUCAAGAAAGUCCAUUUUUAUUUAUCAUAAUACCCUUAAUCUUUAGAAGAAAAAUAUGGGUAUGGUAAUUUAGAAUAUUGUAAUGCAUUUUAGAAAUCUACUAUCUCAAUGAAUAUUAUAGUUUUUUUUAUUACAGGAGAUAAUACCUAUCUCUAAGCAUUGGUAAAAGACCAUCGCCGAUCUUUCUUUCUAAACUCGCUCGCUCGACAGAGAAACACCAUCGAUUAAUAACUUUUCCCACCGCAAUACCACUACUGAAAAGAUAACAUUGAGAACAACCGAUAGAUUUUCUCUCUCUAGAAGUGGAAGCUUUACCAACCCAAAACUCAUGGGAAUACCACUUGACCAAUCUCCAUCUUGAAGAUCUAUUCCCAUAACAUCUCCAUCUUGAAGAUCCAUUCUUAUAACCCUCAAAAGAGGGACCUUCUAAAAGAUAAGAUAUUAUGUCUUCAUUGAAUCUUUUAUAUGUGAGAAAUUGUAUGUUUGUAUAAUUGGGCCUUAAACCCCCAUGAAGAUGUAUUAUUGAGUUUAUCAAAGAUGUGAACAAGAGCCCCAAUUUAUAGGGUUACAAAUUUAUGUACUACUAAAGAAACUAACAUAUGUAAAGGAAUAUAUUGUUCCUAAACUAACAUAUUGUUCCUAAACAUCAGUGCAUGUUUCUAUAUUUUUAUACUCCCCCUCAUAGCUUAAGUUUGAACAAUUGAAGGUAGGCGUUAGUAAGAAAGCAGGAACAUAAGAAGCUUGAGCAGUUGCAAAUUAGCGAUCCUCAUAAACCUAUAUCUCGAACAGAGCAAUCUCGCAUAACAGCAAAUCAACAGGCAUUUGAAAUAGACAUGAUCGAGUAAACUUGAUCAUCACACAAGAUGAAGUAACGGAAAACUUGAUCAUCAACCAAGAUCAAUAAAUUCGAUCAUCAAACAUGAGGCACUUGACAGAGCUAACAGAAAUCAGCAGGGGAUCAACAAGCACUGUUGGACCUUAGAUUCGGAAUAGAGAACAUUAAGAUCUAAACACAGAUCAGAGAAUUGAAACACGACUCGACAGACAGAUCAUAGAGUCGAAAUACAACUCGGCAGAGAGACUGGUCAGAUAGUCGAAACACAACUCAGUAGAGAGACAAAUCAAAUAGGCGAAACACGACUCGGUAGUUGUUUUACAGAUGGUACAGAUUGGCCGUUUUCAUAUACCAUUUUCAAAUGUGGGUUUCAAAUCUAGCUCACCAAAGUUCCGACAUCAAAGGGGAGAUUGGUCGCAAAGGGACUCGAAAACCUUAUGAAUGCAAUAGUAACAGCAAAUACUGGAAGCAAAUACGGAGAAGGCUAGAGAGAGGUACAUCACUUUUGUACCAAAUAAAGUAGAAAAGGUAGAGAGAGAAAUAAGAGAUGGAACCCUUUAGUGGUACUGACAGCAUGAAUUGGAGUACUUUCAAAUACUUUGCAUCUGCAACUCCAGCCAUCUCUUGGAUGUUGAUUACCAAAACAUAUUUUCACCAACACUCCACAAAAAGAAAUGAUCCGAGAUAAGAGAAAACCCUGGUGAGAUAAGAGGGCAAAACAAAUUUGCAUGAUAUACAGGAAAAUUCAAUUAAUGAGUAUGUGAGUGUCCCGUCAAUCUCUAGUCUCUGAGCAUCGUAUCCAAAUUAAACACCAACAAAUAUUCAAAGUGAGAGAGAGAGUAAACUAGAGAGAGAAACAUAGCACGUUCUAGUGAGAGGGAAAAUUCUUCCCUGCCAUCACCCAGGCUUCGCGAUCAGAACAUGGUUGCCCCAUAUACAUCAGAUGCCGCCAUACCAGACCCACUUCUCCUCUCAAUGCGUGGCCUGCUGGGAGCUGAGCAGAGAAAGAGUUGUAUCCCCAAGGCCCGAACAUAAGGCCCAAACUGAUGAGAGAGAACUACUACAAGAAGAACGAAAUACAGAUAAGAGGAGCUGCCGAGUAGAGAACAUAAGGCCCAAAACGAUUGGAGAAGAGCCAAACUGAGAUCAGAGAAGUAUGAGAGGUGAAAUAGAGUUUUCACAUAUCACAGAGAAUACACAGAUCGUAUAAAACCUCGUUUUGAUAUCAUGUGAGAAAUUGUAUUUCUGUAUAAUUGAGUUUUUCAAAGUUUAUCAAAGAUGUAAACAAGAGCCCUAAUUUAUAAAAUUACAAAGUUGUGUAUUACUAAAAAAACGAACAUAUGAAAUGAACCACUUUUUUAAUAUGGGUACAUAUAAAAAGAAAU